Molecule: long non-coding RNA, 255 nt
Filed under: Sorghum bicolor (sorghum)
Lineage: Eukaryota; Viridiplantae; Streptophyta; Magnoliopsida; Poales; Poaceae
Description: long non-coding RNA (SBIC_LNC011689)
Source: RNAcentral
UGUGGUAGUGUCAUUCACUUUUUAUAUCUAGGGUUAAAGUGGUAUUAGACCUAUGUUGUAAGGUUUAUUGGGCUUGUUUUGUGAAUUUCGGUUCUUUUGGUUCUUUCGGUUAACUAGGAACCGAAUUUUGGUCGGUUAGUUCGAUUUCUAAGAACCGAACAACUAACCGAAAUUUUCAGUUUCGGUUAUUUCGGUUUCGGUUUUGGUUCUCGGUUAUUUUUUCCCAGACUGAGUUUCGUGUAUAUUAAAUAUGCU